UUUACUCAAAAGUUAUAAUACCCCUCAUACUGCAGUAUCCUUGUAGCACACCUCAGCACCUUUACUCUCAACUGCCUUGAAGUAAAACCAUGUUGAAAUAAUUUUUGGCAUCAAUGGCUUAAACUUAUUAUCACGCAUUACAGGGCAAAGCCGUCUUUGCUAGUGGAUCACCAUUGACCCUGUCCACAUACAAAGGUCAAAAGUUUGUCCCAGGACAAGGAAACAACUCGUACAUUUUCCCUGGUGUAGCGCUUGGGUACAAUUUGCGCUGGACUCAGACUAUUUCUGAUGAAAUCUUCCUCAUCGCUGCUCAGUGUCUUGCUGCUUUAGUAACAGAUCAAUGACCUUGAGAUUGGAGGCCUAUACCCUCCGCUAGAGACCAUUCAAUCGUGUCACUGAAAAUUGCUGUAAGGAUCGCUGAGUUGCUUAUGAGAAAGGCUGGGCCUCAACGUAUCCUCAACCUUCGGACUUAGAAAGUUUCAUCAAAGCUCAACUUUAUGAUUACCAUUAUUCGUCUGCUGUUCCUAAAACCUAUGACUGGCCAAAGCUUUAAAGUCAAGGUUUUACAAGGAAUUGCUGCCACAUACCCAGAGCCUGAAGAUAAGGAAGAAUUCGUUAAAUCGAAACUGUAUGAUUAUUCCUACAGUUCCUCUGUACUGCCAGUAAAGUACAGUUGGCCACAGAACGCUAUCAACUGACUAUGCAAGCUGUAGUGAAACUAAUGUCCUCUCAAAAUCGUGUUCAACUCGUUUCCUCUUUGUUGUACAUAAUCUAAGAUUCCAAUGGCAUGUUGAAGGGUUGCAUUUAGGUACCUAAUUGUGUGUCCGAAGCCUUUUAAUGCAUCGGUUUUUACAUUUCCAUAAUCUUUUGUAUUUUAAAAAUGAUGCUUCUUUCAAUUAAAUAUAAGUUAUUCCACCACACUCUUCUUAAUAUCUAUUAAUUAAUAUAAAAAAAAAUACCGUAAAUCUUUUUCUCCCAAUGUUUUUGAGUAUUCCAGUCAGAUCUUAAACUGGGCUGAAUGGUUAGCUGUUUCGUUUUACUUUCCCUGUAAAAGGAUAUUGUCCUUUGAUAUGUUUUGAGCCUCGAACAAAUUCAGUUCAGUAGGAUUAUUUAUCAUUUCAUUUAUUUAUUAAUUUACCUACUCAUUCAUUACAUAAUCUAACUCCCGGAGUUUCUUCAUGGGCCAGCCUAGAGGGCUCCUACAAUUUUUAUUUAAAUUUUUUUGAAAUCGACAUAUAUUUUAACCUUUCAAGAGCUGAAGCCAGUAAAGAUAAGGCUUACAAUAGAUUCAUUGAAAAGUUAAGAUGAAGUAUAUUUUUCCAAGCUUAACGUUUCAGAUUUUUACAUGUGAUUUUUUGAAUGGCUGUGUCAGUUUCAGGAACGCUAAACUUGACUCAUUUUGUUGUUCUUUUUAAAGUAAAUAUCAGCAUUAAAGAAAAAUGGAGCUCCUUGUAUCUAUGUUGGUUUUGUCCCUUAAAUACUAAUAAGUGUUUCAUUUUAACCUUUUUUGCUUCAAUUGUUUUUCCUUUCAUUUUUAAUUCAUUGUAAUCAUCUUAUUUUUUUUAACUGUUUUUGGAAAGUUUUGUUUUUGUUAUUCAAUUAUUCUGUUAUCUUUUUUAUGUAUCUACCGUAAUAAAAUUACUUCAUGCUCUAAAUUGGAUUUUCAUUUUUUGAAUAUAAUUUUUUUUGGUGAGUUUUCAUCUUUUUUUACUGAAUUGUAGACAUUCAAGAUAUACUCAGUUGUCCUUUUCUGGACAGAAUAUAUCUGAAUAUAUGGCUGAUUAUUUAAAGUUUAAAGCAGCCCAAUAAGACAUCGAAUUGCGAUAUAUUUCAUGGUUGAGAUAGGGCUAUGUCUUCUCUUGUCAGGAUGACAUAGUUUCAAUAAUCGGACCGCAGCACUGUGUUACCAAACUUCUCAAAUUUUUGCAAUUUUUAUUUUUUUUUACAAAAAAAAUGAAGAAUAGAAUCACUUCCAAAUUUUACCAGAUAUUCCCUUCGUCAUUCAGAUUAAUCCAUAAUAUGUUUGUGAAAGUGUUAAAUUUUAAAGUCUGUCAAUAUAGUAUCUAAACUCGAAUGGAGCUUGUGAUAUUCUUCCUGAAGAAAGAUGACCUGUCAAACGUGAAAUUAAAUGUCAAACUUCGCCCUAACAACGAGUCUUCUGAAGGAGAGGAGGCUCAUGUAAAUAUUUAAAACAAGUAAUUGAUUACAAAAGGUCAUUUAAUUUUUUGUUUUUGUUUUGAUCAAUAGGGACUUGGCUAUUUACAAUACUUGCCCAACAUAUAAGGUGUUUCUCAAUGAAAACAAAAAAUACAACACACCUCUGUCUGACCACUAAAACUAGAGAGGAAGAACAGUUCCCACUUAAAAAUAUUUACAUGUGUACAUUAUUUACAACGAUGGCAAUGAACUAUAAACAAUGAUGUCUUUUUCGAUAAACUUAUAAUUAAAAUAACAGAAAAAUUUACAAAUAACAAUGUCAACAUGAGGAACUCAAAUUACGAAAUUGAAAG
Molecule: long non-coding RNA, 2510 nt
Filed under: Bemisia tabaci
Lineage: Eukaryota; Metazoa; Arthropoda; Insecta; Hemiptera; Aleyrodidae
Description: lncRNA ENSSWEETPG005764
Source: RNAcentral